This 576-nucleotide ribosomal RNA is filed under the name uncultured eukaryote. Its description in RNAcentral is "SSU rRNA". It matches the Rfam family "Eukaryotic small subunit ribosomal RNA", at positions 205 to 795 of the family's 1831-position model. The record is from RNAcentral.
UAUUUAUUAGAUAAAAAACCAAUGCCCUUCGGGGCUCCUUGGUGAAUCAUAAUAACUCAACGAAUCGCAUGGCCUUGCGCCGGCGAUGGUUCAUUCAAAUUUCUGCCCUAUCAACUUUCGAUGGKAGGAUAGUGGCCUACCAUGGUAUCAACGGGUAACGGGGAAUUAGGGUUCGACUCCSGAGAGGGAGCCUGARAAACGGCUACCACAUCCAAGGAAGGSAGCAGGSGCGCAAAUUACCCAAUCCCGACACGGGGAGGUAGUGACAAUAAAUACUGAUACAGGGCUCUUUUGGGUCUUGUAAUUGGAAUGAGUACAAUUUAAAUCCCUUAACGAGGAACAAUUGGAGGGCAAGUCUGGUGCCAGCAGCCGCGGUAAUUCCAGCUCCAAUAGCGUAUAUUAAAGUUGUUGCAGUUAAAAAGCUCGUAGUUGAACCUUGGGCCUGGCUGGCCGGUCCGCCUCACCGCGUGUACUGGUCCGGCCGGGCCUUUCCUUCUGGGGAACCUCAUGCCCUUCACUGGGCGUGUUGGGGAACCAGGACUUUUACUUUGAAAAAAUUAGAGUGUUCAAAGCAGG